Ktedonobacter sp. 13_1_20CM_3_54_15 is the source of this 252-nucleotide non-coding RNA. NCBI's taxonomy places the organism in Bacteria, Bacillati, Chloroflexota, Ktedonobacteria, Ktedonobacterales, Ktedonobacteraceae. The record is from Rfam.
GUAGAAGCAUCGAUGGGACGAGUAACAGUUGCUGUUGCGUCCAGAGAGUGGGCGGUUGGUGGAAAGCCCAUACGUCAAUACACUGUGAAAAAAAGCCCGGAGCCGCGAGAAGAAAUCGCUUCAAGCGAGAGUAGACCUCUGCCGGAGGCCCCCGUUAACGGGCGGGAGUAUGUUAGUACUCGACGAGGUUGAUGUCGUGAGGCAUCAACGAAUGAAGGUGGUACCACGAGAGUUGUGUAUUUCGCUCUUUGU